Molecule: unclassified non-coding RNA, 497 nt
Filed under: Hevea brasiliensis (rubber tree)
Lineage: Eukaryota; Viridiplantae; Streptophyta; Magnoliopsida; Malpighiales; Euphorbiaceae
Source: RNAcentral
UGAAUUUUCUGUGCCUGAUUUGAAAAUCCAUAAACUAAUUGCUAAUAAGCGAACACAAACAACAAUCACAAACAAUAAUAACCAUAUAUUUCACUAGAGGAAUGGGCUGCACUAUUAGACCUCAAUAGAAGAAAAUCAGCCUCUGCAAGCAAGUUCCGGACAAUGCGUGUUGAUCCAACAAAAAGGUGCUUCCACCAUUGAUGAAGAGUACAUAAACCUCCAAAAUAAUUAGGAAACUAUCGUAUCUGAUAAUCAUACACGUAAGAAAACACACAGAAACACAAGAUUUGGUGGUUUAUUUCAAGAAAAGACAUAAAAACUAAAAGAAGAAAGGAAAGCUAAGGGAAAAACUCAAAAACACUAAAAAAAGGAAAGAAAAAGAUCAAGAAAAGUUAAAAAGUGGAGGGAGGGAGGUGCUGCCGGCCAAAAUGGCUGGUAGCACCUCAUCUGCGAGAUGGAACAGGCUUGAAGAGAAAGUUGACAUGGCAGCGUCCAAG